CCUGGGUGGCAGCAGUGAGGAAUAUUGGUCAAUGGGCGCGAGCCUGAACCAGCCAAGUAGCGUGAAGGAUGACUGCCCUACGGGUUGUAAACUUCUUUUAUAAAGGAAUAAAGUGAGGCACGUGUGCCUUUUUGUAUGUACUUUAUGAAUAAGGAUCGGCUAACUCCGUGCCAGCAGCCGCGGUAAUACGGAGGAUCCGAGCGUUAUCCGGAUUUAUUGGGUUUAAAGGGAGCGUAGAUGGGUUGUUAAGUCAGUUGUGAAAGUUUGCGGCUCAACCGUAAAAUUGCAAUUGAUACUGGCAGCCUUGAGUACAGUUGAGGUAGGCGGAAUUCGUGGUGUAGCGGUGAAAUGCUUAGAUAUGACGAAGAACCCCGAUUGCGAAGGCAGCUUGCUGCAGCGGAACUGACGCUGAUGCUCGAAAGCGCGGGUAUCGAACAGGAUUAGAUACCCGUGUAGUC
Molecule: ribosomal RNA, 458 nt
Filed under: uncultured bacterium
Lineage: Bacteria
Description: partial 16S ribosomal RNA
Rfam family: Bacterial small subunit ribosomal RNA
Source: RNAcentral